UGCCAGAUCGUCUAACCGGAAGGACGUCGGAUUGUUACUCCGACUGUGGGGGUUCGAGUCCUCCUGUGGCAG
This 72-nucleotide transfer RNA is filed under the name Actinomycetes bacterium. RNAcentral describes it as "Actinobacteria bacterium tRNA-Asn". It matches the Rfam family "tRNA". From Rfam's summary of the family: Transfer RNA (tRNA) molecules are approximately 80 nucleotides in length. Their secondary structure includes four short double-helical elements and three loops (D, anti-codon, and T loops). RNAcentral also lists the same sequence under 1 other name. Lineage: Bacteria; Bacillati; Actinomycetota; Actinomycetes. The record is from RNAcentral.